Molecule: ribosomal RNA, 253 nt
Filed under: uncultured bacterium
Lineage: Bacteria
Description: partial 16S ribosomal RNA
Rfam family: Bacterial small subunit ribosomal RNA
Source: RNAcentral
UACGGGGGGGGUAAGCGUUGUUCGGAAUUACUGGGCGUAAAGGGCUCGUAGGCGGCCAACUAAGUCAUACGUGAAAGCCCACGGCUUAACCGUGGAAGUGCAUGGGAAACUGCAGAGCUUGAGUACUUAAGAGGAUCGCGGAAUUCCCGGUGUAGAGGUGAAAUUCGUAGAUAUCGGGAGGAACACCAGUGGCGAAGGCGGCGAUCUGGGAAGAUACUGACGCUGAGGUGCGAAAGCGUGGGGAGCAAACAGG